AGCAGCCGCGGUAAUUCCAGCUCCAAUAGCGUAUAUUAAAGUUGUUGCAGUUAAAAAGCUCGUAGUUGAAUUUCGGGGUUAGUAGGUUGGUCAUGCCUCUGGUAUGUACUGGUCUCACUGAUUCCUCCUUCCUGAUGAGCCGUAAUGCCAUUAAUUUGGUGUUGCGGGGAAUUUGGACUGUUACUUUGAAAAAAUUGAGUGUUUAAAGCAAGCUAACGCUUGAAUACAUUAGCAUGGAAUAAUGAAAUAGGACGUUCGAUCCUAUUUUGUUGGUUUCUAGGAUUGACGUAAUGAUUAAUAGGGAUAGUUGGGGGCAUUAGUAUUCAAUUGUCAGAGGUGAAAUUCUUGGAUUUAUUGAAGACUAACUACUGCGAAAGCAUUUGCCAAGGAUGUUUUCAUUAAUCAAGAACGAAAGUUAGGGGAUCGAAGACGAUCAGAUACCGUCGUAGU
This 450-nucleotide ribosomal RNA is filed under the name uncultured Glomeromycotina. Its description in RNAcentral is "SSU rRNA". It matches the Rfam family "Eukaryotic small subunit ribosomal RNA", at positions 569 to 1024 of the family's 1831-position model. Lineage: Eukaryota; Fungi; Glomeromycota. The record is from RNAcentral.